RNAcentral lists this ribosomal RNA (225 nucleotides) under uncultured bacterium. RNAcentral's name for it is "partial 16S ribosomal RNA". It matches the Rfam family "Bacterial small subunit ribosomal RNA", at positions 109 to 334 of the family's 1533-position model. The record is from RNAcentral.
AGUAACGCGUGGGUAACCUGUCUCAUACAGGGGGAUAACAGUUAGAAAUGACUGCUAAUACCGCAUAAGCGCACAGUGCUGCAUGGCACAGUGUGAAAAACUCCGGUGGUAUGAGAUGGACCCGCGUCUGAUUAGCUAGUUGGUGGGGUAACGGCCUACCAAGGCGACGAUCAGUAGCCGGCCUGAGAGGGUGAACGGCCACAUUGGGACUGAGACACGGCCCAA